GCUUCCUCUAUAUGGAAAUGACCUGUUUCCACUCAUCAGACUGGGGGUGAGAGUGACUGCAGACGUUCUGGGAGGACCGCUGUAUCUCCUCUACACACACCAUUGGAAUACGUAUUCAGAUUUAAUGGAAACUAUUGGAAUUUAAAAUGCAUAACAUUUUAUCUGGUUGAAGCCAAUCCUGUGGGAGUGGUGCAGCCCACGCUGAGCGUCCUCCCUCCCUCCAGAGUGGAGCUGGAGCAGGGCAGUGCUACACUGCUGUGUGUGGCCAGUGGGGGCUUCCCCUCAGACUGGAAGCUUUGCUGGAAGGUGGGGGGCAGCAGCAGGUCUGGGGGGAUGUCAGAUAGCCUGGGGGUCCUGGGGAAAGAUGGCCACUACAGCUGGAGCAGCACCUUGACCCUCCCUGCAGACCAGUGGAGGAUGGCGGGCUCAGUGAGCUGUGAGGCCAGUAAGAAUGGCCAGACGCAGCCUGUCACUCAAACCCUGAAUCCUGGAGAGUGUUCAGAGUAGAGAGGCUCCAGCAUGGAGGUACUGGAGGAUACAGAUCUCCUCUGACACGUCUGCUUUAUGUCUCUCUGUCUCAGGUGGCACCGCUACUUCUGUUGAUUUACAUUGAUAUAACACGCAUUUGAUUCAUUAACAUGAUGCUCUUUAGAUUUUACCCCUUGCUUGUGUUGGUCACAUGUUGAACAUGUAAUAAAGAUUUAAAGAAUAAAUUCAUUAAAUAUCAUUUAUCUUCUGUAUUUGAAAUUGAAUGCUGCUUCUAUUGAGCAUAUAAAACCUCUGCUAUCUUCAUUAAACAAAUUUCACAACCAUUAUGAA
This is a long non-coding RNA of Gadus morhua (Atlantic cod), 819 nucleotides long. RefSeq lists it as uncharacterized. The transcript has 2 exons. Lineage: Eukaryota; Metazoa; Chordata; Actinopteri; Gadiformes; Gadidae. The record is from RefSeq and is a predicted model, not a curated record.